CUGAGGGCUAUAACAAUCACACCAAGGCUCUCAAUCACCUGAUAUCCUGGCAUAUGCAGUGAAGAGCGUGGAUUCCUCCCUCCGCUGCGCCGAUGCGGCCCUUCUCGCUGCAAGAGCUCACCUCCCACGGAGCAGGGACGGAAGUCAGUGUGCAUACAUCCGGCUACUCCUGGGGGCCCCCCCGGAUGGGGCGAUAAGGAGCGUGACUCUGUGGUGCCCCCUCUGUUAUAGUAGAUGAAGAUAAAAUAAGGUUGAAAUGAAGUGAUAAAGUAGAACAAUACUUCCAGAGACUGGCAUGGCACUCACAUCUUCAAUAUAAUCUGGCUGGACAACUGAAAAAAAAUGGAAAAAU
Molecule: long non-coding RNA, 352 nt
Organism: Zalophus californianus (California sea lion)
Lineage: Eukaryota; Metazoa; Chordata; Mammalia; Carnivora; Otariidae
Exons: 3
Source: RefSeq, a predicted model, not a curated record